Picea glauca (white spruce) is the source of this 1898-nucleotide non-coding RNA. The record is from Rfam. Lineage: Eukaryota; Viridiplantae; Streptophyta; Pinopsida; Pinales; Pinaceae.
UACCGUGUUGAUCCUACCAGUAGUCAUAUGCUUGUCUCAAAUAUUAAGCCAUGCAUAUCUAAGUAUGAACUAAUUCAGACUUUGAAACUGCGGAUGGCUCAUUAAAUCAGUUAUAGUUUCUUUGAUGGUACCCUACUACUCAGAUAAUUGUAGUAAUUCUAGAGCUAAUACGUGCACUAAGUCCCGAAUCUUUGGAAGGGAUGCAUUUAUUAGAUAAAAGGCCAGAAGAGGCUUGCCCGCUUCUCUGGUGAAUCAUGAUAACUCGACGGAUCGCACAACCCUUGUGCUGGCGAUGCUUAAUUCAAAUUUCUUCCCUAUGAACUUUCAAUGGUAGGAUAGAGGCCUACCAUGGUGGUGAUGGGUGAUAGAGAAUUAGGGUUCUAUUUCACAAAGGGAGCCUGAGAAACGACUACCACAUCUAAGGAAGGCAGCCGACGCGCAAAUUACCCAAUCCUGACAUGGGGAGGUAGUGACAAUAAAUAACAAUACUGGGCUCAUCAAGUUUUGUAAUUGGAAUGAGUACAAUCUAAAUCCCUUAAUGAGGAUCCAUUGGAGGGAAAGAUUGGUGCCAUCAGCCAUUGUAAUUCCAGCUCCAAUAACGUAUAUUUAAGUUGUUGUAGUUAAAAAUCUCGUAGUUGGAUCUUGGGUCGUAAAGGUCGGUCAACCUACUCGGUGUGCACAUGCCCUUCCAUCCAUUUUGUCAGUGGCAUGCUCAUGGCCUUAAUUGGCUGGGUUGUGGUUCCGGUGUUGUUACUUUGAAAAAAUUAGAGUGCUCAAAGAAAGCUUAUGCUCUGAAUACAUUAGCAUGGAAUAAUGCGAUAGGAGUCUUGUCCUAUUGUGUUGGCCUUCGGGACCAGAGUAAUGAUUAAUAGAGACUGUCAGGGGCAUUCGUAUUUCAUUGUCAGAGGUGAAAUUAUUGGAUUUAUGAAAGACAAACCACUGCAUAAGCAUUUGCCAAGGAUGUUUUCAUUAAUCAAGAACAAAAGUUGGGGGCUCAAAGAUGAUCAGAUACCAUCCUAGUCUCAACCAUAAAUGAUGCCAACCAGGGAUCUCUAGAUGUUUCUCUAAGGACUCCGCCAACACCUUCUGAGAAAUCAGACUGUUUGGGUUCUGAGGGGAGUAUGGUCGCAAGGCUGAAACUUAAAGGAAUUAACGGAAGGGCACCACCAGGAGUGGAGCCUGCGGCUUAAUUUGAAUCAACACGGGAAAACUUACCAGGUCCAGACAUAGUAAGGAUUGAUAGAUUGAGAGAUCUUUAUUGAUUCUAUGGGUGGUGGUGCAUGGCCGUUCUUAGUUGGUGGAGCGAUUUUUAUGGUUAAUUUCGAUAAUGAACGAGACUGUUAUCACUAAAAUUUCAUUCGCACAUGGUUACAAGAACUCAGCAUCGUCAAUCAGUGAUGAAUUCAUCCAUGGACCUGAAUUAACACCAAAGCAUUCAUAAAGGGUCAAAAACUAUACAAAGUAGUGAAAAAUUGAAGGGUGCUAUGAAGACACUGGGUGCCCGUGCACAUGCGUGGAACAAAAAUGCAGAAAUCGUGCACAUGCGCACGAUGUAUGAUUGUUAUCGCAAAAAGCCGUGCACCUGAGAAACGAUGCAUUUAUGAGAGUGGUUGGCCUCCCACCCACUUAUGGUUCAGUUCCCAAGUCGAUUUGACACUCAAAUCUAGACUGGAUUCGACUGGAUGGCUGGUCAAAGACCUAUAAAUGCCUUAAUUAGCCUCUUUUCAAACUAAAAACUAGUUGAACAAUAGCUCAAAGGAAUGCUAUAAAAAUUCCAUGGAUACACUUCAUUUUUCAAGGAAUUCAAAGCAAAGUUAUGCUUCCAUUAUUCUCUUGAGGACUCUAUCCUUUCCAAGAGUAUAUUUGCACCAUUGCAUUGGGCAAUCCAUCUCACCCCU